Molecule: ribosomal RNA, 380 nt
Filed under: uncultured Prochlorococcus sp.
Lineage: Bacteria; Bacillati; Cyanobacteriota; Cyanophyceae; Synechococcales; Prochlorococcaceae
Description: bacterial SSU rRNA
Rfam family: Bacterial small subunit ribosomal RNA
Source: RNAcentral
AGGGCUUGACAUCCUGCGAACCUUUAAGAAAUUAGAGGGUGCCUUCGGGAACGCAGUGACAGGUGGUGCAUGGCUGUCGUCAGCUCGUGUCGUGAGAUGUUGGGUUAAGUCCCGCAACGAGCGCAACCCACGUUUUUAGUUGCCAGCAUUUAGUUGGGCACUCUAGAAAGACCGCCGGUGAUAAACCGGAGGAAGGUGUGGAUGACGUCAAGUCAUCAUGCCCCUUACGUCCUGGGCUACACACGUACUACAAUGCUACGGACAAAGGGCAGCAAACUCGCGAGAGCUAGCAAAUCCCAUAAACCGUGGCUCAGUUCAGAUCGUAGGCUGCAACUCGCCUACGUGAAGUAGGAAUCGCUAGUAAUCGCAGGUCAGCAUAC